This is a long non-coding RNA of Bufo gargarizans (Asiatic toad), 2959 nucleotides long. RefSeq lists it as uncharacterized. The transcript has 2 exons. NCBI's taxonomy places the organism in Eukaryota, Metazoa, Chordata, Amphibia, Anura, Bufonidae. The record is from RefSeq and is a predicted model, not a curated record.
UCCGAUGGGCGUCUUCUUUCAAAUGUAUAUUCUUUCUUAAAUUAUUUACCCUGUCAACACGCUCUGCAUGCAGAAGGCGUCUGUGCAGCGCCGAUCCGGCCCUGACGGGUGCGAGUGGAGCGUCCUCCGAGGUGUCCUAUCCUGGCGUGUCCGUCCAGUUCUGUCGCUCUCAUGUGAACACCCACAGGCGGUGUCUGCCAGUGACAGGGCUGUUGGCUCCCGUACAGAUGGGUACAAUCAAUGCCCACCAUUGUUCUGCCCCAGAGCGCGUCUCCGCACUAGAAAGGGAGAAAUCACCAAAAUAAUGUUUAUUUAAUGGGCCGUCUGCAGCCACAAUGCACAAUCUGCUCUGUCCAAAGGAGAGUGGCGAGCGCCGGGGCCCCAACCUCGAGUCCUUGUAACGUCCCUGCAGCUGUGAGGAUGGGGGAGGAGGCCGAAGGAGUCGGGUCAUCCAGAAUCGGGUCUUACUGGCCGUCCUGGGGAUCAUCAUCGUCUUCACCAUCAUUAUGGCCAUUUACUUCUCUUUUCGUGGACACUGAUCCUGUCCUCUUCCCACUGUACAGCGGGCGGCGGAGUCAUUCUGAUCGAAUGUUCCUGUGUAUCACGCUCCAUGGAACAAUAUCCCUAAAAACUGCAGGUCAACUUCCAAAACUGUCUUCUUUUUCCACCAAGGACCUUCCAUCACCUCUCGGGAACCCUCUCAUGAUCCUUCAGACCUUCCUUUGCAAGAUGAAGAUACGAUAACCAGAAGAAGUCAACUUUUUAGGUGUCGAAUUGUAUAUUUCUGGUGAUUUUCUUCUUGUCUUGUGGACUUCCGUUAUUUCUUCUUGGUCUCGUGGUUGAGGUCUUGGCCAAAGGUUGACAAUUUUAUCAUUUAAGCCUAAUUUUUGUCAGUUAUAAUGAUCCCCUUCAGCCAUGGUGGGGUUAAUGGAAUGAAAUAUGAUGAUCAGAUUAUUGAUACGGUACUGUGAAGGCUUAAUUAAAGGAGAUCCCCAGUCACUAAUGAACAUUCAUCCCCCCUUUUAGUCAGUGUAACAGUAUAGUUUCGACAUUGCAACAACUCAUGCCCAUUCGAUCUAUGACAAAGACUGUCCCAUGACUACAAGUAGGUGUCAGGCCCCACCUACUUAGGAUAUCUCCUUGUCAGGUGCACAAUCAUAAGACAUUUAAGCUCCGCCCAGGCUGGGAAAGAUUUGGGCAAUGGUAGUUGGAGGUGAUGCAUGAUGGGAGAUUAAUACUGAUCCUGUCUGCUUUUUGUGCCUGCCCCUAUUCCAGGCUUGGAGCUUCCACCAGGACCAGUAGUGAACUGAUGUGAGGAUGACUGCAGAUUUAGGCCUCGUAGAUGAUUGGUUUUGUCCUUUCAGUUGUGUGUUUUUUCUCUUCCUGUCCAUGACCGAUGUUUGAUUCAUCUUAGUAAAUGAUGAAAUGUCGCUUUAUUUCAAUCAAAUUCUCACCCUGUGAUCCUCCUUCUCCCCAAUAGAAGCUAACCAAAGUGCAAGUAUCACAGUAUAGAUCCCAAAAUCCUGUAGCAGUGGUGCAAGCAACAUUGUGGUGGUCUCCAUGCCUCAUGUCAUCAGGGGACACUUCUCUAUUCAGACCAUGACAUGUGCUAACUGAGGUGUUGCGAUUGUCCUUAUCCAUGAUGCAUCCUAUUGGGCAUUCAUUUGAUGGUUCCUCCAAUCCACAGCCACUUGUAGCACAAGAAACGUCUGCUGUUUGAUAAAGCCGGGCCAUACACAGGAGAUAGCUGUUGAGCUGACCGCGAUCUCUCCCGAUCCCCCACAUCUCUGGUGCUUAUCUUCCCAAGAAUUAAAGAAUUGGGCAGUUGAAACCCAACUUUCCCGACCCUUCUUUCCCCCAACCUCUGCCAUCAGUCAGGAGGACCUAACAUACUCAGUAGAAGCUUGUUCAGUCCCACCAAAACUGGCUUGUUCAACCAAGAUACAUCAAAUGUUUAUGGAAGAAGCUGUAAGAUCCCAAAUAUUGGGAAGAUUCGGGCACGAGAUGGAGCAUCAUUUUCUGGCAGAGACACGUGAGAUCAUGAGUUGUCAGCUGUUCCUAAGCAUCAAACGAUAAGACUUUGGCUGGUCCAUGUGGUAUCUUUAUUGUGUAUGGCUCUACAAACUGAGGCUGAUCUGUAGGGGUGGGACCCUGUGGUCUUCACGGUGACACAGGAGCCACAUUACUGAAGUCAGGCCGGGGAAUUGUCAUGUCUGAAGCAGCCACUCCACUAGAGAUGUCAGUCAUGAGCACACAGGAUAAGACAUCUGGUGGUGUAUGUGCGUCGUCCACUACUGGAAUUGUAUCUUCAUUUUUGAUUCUUCUCUUUAUGUCUGUGACACCAUGCUGCAUCAUUAAAGGGGUUAUCCAACUUUAAACGUUUUUAAGAGACCCCUUCAUAGUAUCCAGACCCCCCUUCCUUCCCUCUGGGUUCCGAUUCCACGGUCACCCCUGCAGGUCGGGUCUCUGGGAAUCAACAGCGUGUUGACAGGGCCGCACGUGACCGCUGCCACCAAUCACUGGCUGCAGUGGUGACCCAGUACCAGCACGUGACCCAGUGAUAGGCUGCAGUGGGUAUUUGCGGCCCCGUCAAUAGGAUCCAAGGUCCUGCGGCGGCUGUAAUGGAGCCAGAAGUCACCAGGACCAGGUAAGUAUGAUCCCCACCACGGGACCAAACACUCUAAAGGGAUCAGUUAAAAAAUAUUAAAGUUGGAUAACCCCUUUAAUAGACCCCCCCCUUGUUACCCCGAGCCGUUCAUUACCUGACCUCAUUAACACUCUGCAUUGCUCCCUGUAAUUUAUUGUGGCCAGGACGGGCCCAAAGUCCGGUAACAUGCCUCCGUCUUCUGAUUCCUGUGUUGUAGUUUCUAGAUAUGUGGAUAUUUUUUUCUUUUAAUAUAAAUUAUGUAUAAAGUGUAAUGCAAUAAAAUAUAUUAAUAAAAGACCAGAAGAAGUGGAA